RNAcentral lists this non-coding RNA (21 nucleotides) under Arabidopsis thaliana (thale cress). The record is from RNAcentral. Lineage: Eukaryota; Viridiplantae; Streptophyta; Magnoliopsida; Brassicales; Brassicaceae.
GCAUGGCCUUGUAAUUGUCAC